This 406-nucleotide ribosomal RNA is filed under the name uncultured bacterium. RNAcentral describes it as "partial 16S ribosomal RNA". It matches the Rfam family "Bacterial small subunit ribosomal RNA", at positions 28 to 526 of the family's 1533-position model. The record is from RNAcentral.
GAUGAACGCUAGCUACAGGCUUAACACAUGCAAGUCGAGGUACCGGCGCACGGGUGAGUAACACGUAUCCAACCUGCCCUUUACUCGGGGAUAGCUUUUCGAAAGAAAGAUUAAUACACGAUGUAACGGAUGGGGAUGCGGUCCAUUAGGUUGUUGGGGAGGUAACGGCUGACCAAGCCUUCGAUGGAUAGGGGUUCUGAGAGGAAGGUCCCCGACAUUGGAACUGAGACACGGUCCAAACGCCUACGGGAGGAAGCAGUGAGGAAUAUUGGUCAAUGGGCGUUAGCCUGAACCAGCCAAGUAGCGUGAAGGAUGAAGGCUUAUGGGUCGUAAACUUCUUUUAUAUAAGAAUAUGUAUUAUAUGAAUAAGGAUCGGCUAACUCCGUGCCAGCAGCCGCGGUAAUUC